This 399-nucleotide unclassified non-coding RNA is filed under the name soil metagenome. RNAcentral's name for it is "partial contains 5.8S ribosomal RNA, internal transcribed spacer 2, and large subunit ribosomal RNA". The stretch from base 1 to 120 matches the Rfam family "5.8S ribosomal RNA", at positions 35 to 154 of the family's 154-position model. The record is from RNAcentral.
GAUGAAGAACGUAGCGAAAUGCGAUACUUGGUGUGAAUUGCAGAAUCCCGUGAACCAUCGAGUCUUUGAACGCAAGUUGCGCCCGAAGCCUCGGCUAAGGGCACGUCUGCCUGAGCGUCACGCAUCGCGUCUCCCCCAAACCGCCAAGGCGGAGGGGAAGGAAGAUGGCUUCCCGUGCCUCACCCGGCGCGGUUGGCCUAAAUUUGGAGCCCGCGGCACUUAGCUCUCGCGGCGAUAGGUGGUGAACAAGGCCUUGGCCGUGCAAACAACCCGCUGCGAAGCUCUAUGUCACGUGCGCUCGUCGGACCCUUUGAAGUUGCCUUCGGUGACUUAAAACCUUUGCGACCCCAGGUCAGGCGGGGCUACCCGCUGAAUUUAAGCAUAUCAAUAAGCGGAGGA